GAGAGGAAAGGGAAGGGAAUGAAUAAAAAAUGUAAAGUAUACUAGAUCAAUUUUAUAAAGGUUUUUUUGUCGUUGUUAAAAAAUUGAAGCAAAUAUUAUAUUUAUAACUAUUUUUAGAAAAUUUCUAAUGUGUACACAGUAUAUAAAAUGAGACAGCAUGCCUUUAUUGUAUAAAGUCAUUUAUGUGUUCCAAAAGAAGGGAAAAAUAUCAUUAAAUGGUCUUUAGCAGCAUCUAAAGGAUGUAGGAUGUGGUGAGUCACUGAGAAGGGAUAUUGUGUGCAAAGAGCAGAGAGUGUUUAAACGUUAAUGAAAAAGUAGGAAACAUUCCUUCUAACAAAAGAUGGGCUGAGUGAGCUUAAGUAGACUAGAUACACAAUUCACUAAUUAUGACUGUAUUUUCUUAUUGAAGGGAAAAAGUAAAAAUAAAUACAAGCAUACGGGGAAAUAUGGUUAAAUCUUUGUAUAAUCACAACCCUGGCCCCCUGAUUUACAUCCAGUACAGACAGAUGUCAGUGAUAAACAGGAAGUAGCAAAAUAGUACACAGAAAAAAAAAUAGAAACUGAAACUUUUUCUUUCCUACAUUUCUCUUCUGAGGACGGGGAGCAGACCUGUCCAGAAAGAAACUAGGAAUUCUCUAUGCUUUGCAGGGACAUCAGUCAGGUGACUUAGCUUAUUAUUCCACCAAUUAGAGGGAGGUGGGCACAAGGAAAUUACAGCAAACCCACAUGUCAACUCUUCCCUUCUCUUGUUAAUGAAUUUGUCAACAAGAGUUGCUUUAGCAUAUACUCUCCCAACGUGUUAGUUACCUCUGAAUUUCAUACAUGGCUUAAUUCAAACAGGACUUUUUCUUUACUUAAUUUCAGCCAUGGCUCCUUUAUCAGUGAUGUUAUUUCUCAUAACUCUGCUGUUCCCAUUGAUGAGCACUGAAGGAAGGAAAAUCAUAUUUGAUGAAGCAAAGAAGUGCAGACUGAGAGGAGCCGGAUGUAGAUCGCUCCUGAGAGACACAGCCAGAAUACAGCAAAUACAGAGGCGAAUGCCAGCAGCAAACCACUGAACUGAGAAUAGGACCCCCGUUGAAGGAAUCAGAGAAAGAACUGGAAGAGCUUGAAGGGGCUCGAGACCCCAUAUGUACAACAAUGCCAAGCAACCAGAGCUUCCAGGGACUAAGCCACUACCUAAAGACUAUACAUGGACUGAUCCUGGACUCUGACCUCAUAGGUAGCAAUGAAUAUCCUAGUAAGAGCACCAGUGGAAGGGGAAGCCCUGGGUCCUGCUAAGACUGAACCCCCAGUGAACUAGACUGUGGGGGGGAGGGCGGCA
Molecule: non-coding RNA, 1321 nt
Organism: Rattus norvegicus (Norway rat)
Lineage: Eukaryota; Metazoa; Chordata; Mammalia; Rodentia; Muridae
Source: RefSeq, a predicted model, not a curated record